GCACAAGCAGCGGAGCGUGUGGUUUAAUUCGAUGCUACACGAAGAACCUUACCAGGGUUUGACAUACAAGUAGUAGGGAAGGAAACUGGACGACCCUUCGGGAGCUUGUACAGGUGCUGCAUGGCUGUCGUCAGCUCGUGUCGUGAGAUGUUCGGUUAAGUCCGCUAACGAGCGCAACCCUCGCUGUGUGUUACAAGUGUCACACGGAACUGCCGGUCAUAAACCGGAGGAAGGUGGGAUGACGUCAAGUCAGCAUGGCCUUUAUAUCCUGGGCUACACACACGCUACAAUGGGAAAGGACAAUAGGUAGCGAAACCGCGAGGUGGAGCCAAUCCAGCAAAAUUCCCUCAGUUCAGAUUGCAGGCUGCAACUCGCCUGCAUGAAGUUGGAAUCGCUAGUAAUCGCGUAACAGCAUGACGCGGUGAAUACGUUCCCGGGCCUU
RNAcentral lists this ribosomal RNA (442 nucleotides) under uncultured Anaerolineaceae bacterium. RNAcentral describes it as "bacterial SSU rRNA". It matches the Rfam family "Bacterial small subunit ribosomal RNA", at positions 923 to 1382 of the family's 1533-position model. The record is from RNAcentral. Lineage: Bacteria; Bacillati; Chloroflexota; Anaerolineae; Anaerolineales; Anaerolineaceae.